AUUGAACGCUGGCGGCAGGCUUAACACAUGCAAGUCGAGCGGGGUGAUGGUGCUUGCACUAUCACUUAGCGGCGGACGGGUGAGUAAUGCUUAGGAAUCUGCCUAUUAGUGGGGGACAACAUCUCGAAAGGGAUGCUAAUACCGCAUACGUCCUACGGGAGAAAGCAGGGGAUCACUUGUGACCUUGCGCUAAUAGAUGUGCCUAAGUCGGGUUAGCUAGUUGGUGGGGUAAAGGCCUACCAAGGCGACGAUCUGUAGCGGGUCUGAGAGGAUGGUCCGCCACACUGGGACUGAGACACGGCCCGGACUCCUACGGGAGGCAGAAGUGGGGAAUAUUGGACAAUGGGGGGAACCCUGAUCCAGCCAUGCCGCGUGUGUGAAGAAGGCCUUAUGGUUGUAAAGCACUUUAAGCGAGGAGGAGGCUCUUUUGGUUAAUACCCAAGAUGAGUGGACGUUACUCGCAGAAUAAGCACCGGCUAACUCUGUGCCAGCCGCCGCAGUAA
This 503-nucleotide ribosomal RNA is filed under the name uncultured bacterium. RNAcentral's name for it is "partial 16S ribosomal RNA". It matches the Rfam family "Bacterial small subunit ribosomal RNA", at positions 30 to 523 of the family's 1533-position model. The record is from RNAcentral.